GGAAUCUACAUCAUGUUUUCGAAAACGUAAGAAAUCAAAGUAUCUUGGUCCUUUCUUAUGAGUUGAUCCCGAAGGAAAUUGAUUAGAAAAUUUCUGGUAAAUCGUUGAUUCAUCUGGUGUUUAACUAUAAUGAUUCAUUUACAAGUUUACUAGAUUGAAAUUUUAUGAUGUUCAAAAAAUUAUAGAUCCCAUGUCACAUC
RNAcentral lists this long non-coding RNA (200 nucleotides) under Durio zibethinus. RNAcentral's name for it is "long non-coding RNA (DZIB_LNC002361)". The record is from RNAcentral. Lineage: Eukaryota; Viridiplantae; Streptophyta; Magnoliopsida; Malvales; Malvaceae.